Molecule: ribosomal RNA, 207 nt
Filed under: uncultured Syntrophaceae bacterium
Lineage: Bacteria; Pseudomonadati; Thermodesulfobacteriota; Syntrophia; Syntrophales; Syntrophaceae
Description: partial 16S ribosomal RNA
Rfam family: Bacterial small subunit ribosomal RNA
Source: RNAcentral
CGUGUAGGCGGCUGAGCAAGUCAGAUGUGAAAUCCCUGGGCUUAACCCAGGAAGUGCAUUUGAAACUGCUUAGCUUGAGUAAGGAAGAGGGAAGUGGAAUUCCUGGUGUAGAGGUGAAAUUCGUAGAUAUCAGGAGGAACACCGGUGGCGAAGGCGACCUUCUGGCCCUAUACUGACGCUGAGACGCGAAAGCGUGGGUAGCAAACA